Molecule: ribosomal RNA, 413 nt
Filed under: Globigerina bulloides
Lineage: Eukaryota; Foraminifera; Rotaliida; Globigerinidae
Description: partial 18S ribosomal RNA
Rfam family: Eukaryotic small subunit ribosomal RNA
Source: RNAcentral
ACACAGUGAGGAUUGACAGACAGUUGGCAGGAGUGGUUCUUGGUAAAAACAAAUGAGAGAGUUGAAGUUCUUUCAUGAUCUUGUGAGAGGUGGUGCAUGGCCGUUCUUAGUUCGUGUAGUGAUAUGUCUGCCUAAUCGCGUCACGAUAACCUAUUGGUCGACAACCCAAUUAUCACAACUGCAGCAUAACUCCCCUUGGGUGGGCGAGGCUCUGUGUAGGAUAGACCUCUGAACAGUACGCAACGAACGCGAUCGUAAUCCCUUGUUGAGUGGCCAUCCUGUAAGCUGCUGGAUUUGAAACCCAGUGGUAUUAUCUCAGCCACAGAUUUUCUGGUUGUAAUGGGCCAGUUUUGAAACUCGGGGAACAUCUGUGACUUUCUUUCUUAACGCAGAGGAAGGUUAUGGCAAUAACA